AUAUAUAUAUAUAUAUAUAUUUAUAGAGUUCGGCUAUGGUGCUUGUAAAAGCAUGAAACACUUUGUGCUUGUAAAUUUUUUACCAUUAGAUUUAUGUCUUUGAUUAUUUUCAACCGUUAGAUUAUACUAUUCAACCAACCACCCACUCAACCCUAGGGGGCCCACGUCAUCCUAACCGCACAUGCAUUUCUUAAUCCAAUGUCUAAAAAUCUAUACGCACCAACAACUUGGUACUUUUAAAAACAUAGAAGCUCAAUUCUAUAUAUAU
RNAcentral lists this long non-coding RNA (268 nucleotides) under Ananas comosus (pineapple). RNAcentral describes it as "long non-coding RNA (ACOM_LNC022913)". Lineage: Eukaryota; Viridiplantae; Streptophyta; Magnoliopsida; Poales; Bromeliaceae. The record is from RNAcentral.